CAACACCACACUCUUUUAACCCUAUGCUAAAUAGGUCAGAAACAUAGUCAUCUGCCCUAUUUCUCUCUCUCUUUUUUUUUGCGUGCACCUCUCUUCUGACAGAAAAUGGCAUGGGAGAAGAGAGCUCCUACACGCUGAGCCAUCCAAUCUAGAUCUUUCCCAUACACAUCUCUCUUGUGAUAAGAAAAAGAGAUGGGAGAGUAGAGCCUACCGUCUGUAGUUUCUUAGAUCCGUUCAAUCCAAAUCGCUACCUUUUCUUUCAAAUAGAACAUCUUUUUCUUUUUUUCUUGCAUGUUGGAUGCAUACCAUCUGUCCCCCUG
This 320-nucleotide long non-coding RNA is filed under the name Elaeis guineensis (African oil palm). Its description in RNAcentral is "long non-coding RNA (EGUI_LNC075548)". The record is from RNAcentral. Lineage: Eukaryota; Viridiplantae; Streptophyta; Magnoliopsida; Arecales; Arecaceae.